This 107-nucleotide ribosomal RNA is filed under the name uncultured bacterium. RNAcentral's name for it is "partial 16S ribosomal RNA". The record is from RNAcentral.
CCUUACGGGUUGUAAAGUCUCCUUUCGGCUAGGGAACAAGAAAGAUUGGUUAAUAACCAGUCGAUUUGAUGGUACUUCGGUAAAGAAGCACCGGCUAACUCCCGUGC